AGUGAACGCUGGCGGUAGGCCUAACACAUGCAAGUCGAACGGCAGCACAGUAAGAGCUUGCUCUUACGGGUGGCGAGUGGCGGACGGGUGAGGAAUACAUCGGAAUCUACUUUUUCGUGGGGGAUAACGUAGGGAAACUUACGCUAAUACCGCAUACGACCUACGGGUGAAAGCAGGGGAUCUUCGGACCUUGCGCGAUUGAAUGAGCCGAUGUCGGAUUAGCUAGUUGGCGGGGUAAAGGCCCACCAAGGCGACGAUCCGUAGCUGGUCUGAGAGGAUGAUCCGCCACACUGGAACUUAGACACGGUCCAGACUCCUACGGGAGGCAGCAGGGGGGAAUAUUGGGAAAUGGGCGCAAGCCCGAUCCAGCAAUGCCGCGUGGGUGAAGAAGGGCUUCGGGUUGUAAAGGCCUUUUGUUGGGAAAGAAAAGGAGCCGGUUUAUACCCCGCUGUUCUGACGGUACCCAAAGAAUAAGCACCGGCUAACUUCGUG
Molecule: ribosomal RNA, 492 nt
Filed under: uncultured bacterium
Lineage: Bacteria
Description: partial 16S ribosomal RNA
Rfam family: Bacterial small subunit ribosomal RNA
Source: RNAcentral